AACGAACGCUGGCGGCAGGCCUAACACAUGCAAGUCGAACGGGACCUUCGGGUCUAGUGGCGGACGGGUGAGUAACGCGUGGGAACGUGCCCUUUGGUUCGGAAUAGCCCCGGGAAACUGGGAGUAAUACCGGAUAAGCCCUACGAGGGAAAGAUUUAACGCCAAAGGAUCGGCCCGCGUUGGAUUAGGUAGUUGGUGAGGUAAUGGCUCACAAAGCCGACGAUCCAUAGCUGGUUUGAGAGGAUGAUCAGCCACACUGGGACUGAGACACGGCCCAGACUCCUACGGGAGGAAGCAGUGGGGAAUCUUAGACAAUGGGGGAAACCCUGAUCUAGCCAUGCCGCGUGAUCGAUGAAGGCCUUAGGGUUGUAAAGAUCUUUCAGUGGGGAAGAUAAUGACUGUACCCACAGAAGAAGCCCCGGCUAACUCCGUGCCAGCAGCCGCCGCCG
Molecule: ribosomal RNA, 449 nt
Filed under: uncultured bacterium
Lineage: Bacteria
Description: partial 16S ribosomal RNA
Rfam family: Bacterial small subunit ribosomal RNA
Source: RNAcentral